RNAcentral lists this ribosomal RNA (497 nucleotides) under uncultured bacterium. RNAcentral describes it as "partial 16S ribosomal RNA". It matches the Rfam family "Bacterial small subunit ribosomal RNA", at positions 28 to 507 of the family's 1533-position model. The record is from RNAcentral.
GAUGAACGCUGGCGGCGUGCCUAGUACAUGCAAGUCGAGCGAACAGACGAGGAGCUUGCUCCUUUGACGUUAGCGGCGGACGGGUGAGUAACACGUAGGUAACCUACCUAUAAGACUGGGAUAACUUCGGGAAACCGGAGCUAAUACCGGAUAAUAUUUCGAACCGCAUGGUUCGAUAGUGAAAGAUGGCUUUGCUAUCACUUAUAGAUGGACCUGCGCCGUAUUAGCUAGUUGGUAAGGUAACGGCUUACCAAGGCAACGAUACGUAGCCGACCUGAGAGGGUGAUCGGCCACACUGGAACUGAGACACGGUCCAGACUCCUACGGGAGGCAGCAGUAGGGAAUCUUCCGCAAUGGGCGAAAGCCUGACGGAGCAACGCCGCGUGAGUGAUGAAGGUCUUCGGAUCGUAAAACUCUGUUAUUAGGGAAGAACAAACGUGUAAGUAACUGUGCACGUCUUGACGGUACCUAAUCAGAAAGCCACGGCUAACUACGUG